This 349-nucleotide unclassified non-coding RNA is filed under the name Homo sapiens (human). RNAcentral's name for it is "septin 9 (ENSG00000282302.4)". Lineage: Eukaryota; Metazoa; Chordata; Mammalia; Primates; Hominidae. The record is from RNAcentral.
GUCAUCCUCAGAGCGGUGUUGGCCCGGGGCCUUCAGUGGCCUUUGUGUCUGGGUGAGAGGAACCCUGGAUGGCCACUCUGCCCUGAGUGUGUGGGUCCCCAGAAGUGCUGGGUUAGGGGGCACGGAGGGCCAGAAAGUCCCCUUUGGAGCGCUGGACUCUCUCGCUGACUCCUACCCCACCCCGGCCUGGGGUUUCAGAGAAGGGGUCCAGGCAGGAGUGUCAUCUUUUCUCAAUGGGGAUGUGGCUUCAGUCUCUGUCCAGGUGGUUGGGAUGUAUACAAAAGUGGCGGUCAACAUGGAGUUGGUGGUGCUGCUACAAUUGUUUUGUUCAAGAUACACAGGAAUUCUG